This is a long non-coding RNA of Solanum stenotomum, 572 nucleotides long. RefSeq lists it as uncharacterized. The record is from RefSeq and is a predicted model, not a curated record. Lineage: Eukaryota; Viridiplantae; Streptophyta; Magnoliopsida; Solanales; Solanaceae. The transcript has 3 exons.
UACCAACUAUCAACUACCCAAGUCCAACGUCCCAAAGGCGAAAAAGAAAAACAAAUAUAAACAAAAGCGGCGGAUUUCCCGAAGUUACCAAUAUCGAUUCCCCUCUUUGAAAAACAAUAUCGAAAACAACCAAUUUACCUUCUCAAAAACACUUGUAAGGUUUCUGUUUCAUUCCAACAUUCUUGCGGAAUUGGUUGUGGAGAUCAGCAAAUUCACCAUUAUCACUAGCACUGAACUGAACUGACGGAAAGUUUUCAUGCAAGGGUGAACAUGAAACUGAUCAAGUGGCAACAGAAACUUAGGAAACUCCAAGGUAUAUUGGGAGAAAAGGUUUGAAUGAUAGAAAUAAUGAAGGUUCUGGUUCUCGUCACACAUAGGUGGUGCAGAUUGUGUUUGAGGUACCUAAUAUCAAGGAUGUGGAGAGAGUAAUACUGAAAAUGCUAUACUAACUACUUCAUGAUUAUUGGAUUCAGAGAACUAUUACUGUUAUCCUAGGAAUUUCAACACUUGCCUCAUUGAUGAGUUGAAAUCGUUUCCAACAGAACUAACAGCGCUAGCGGUCUUAUGGUGGG